GAAGGUGUAUCUAGAAAGACAAAUUAGAGCUUGAAAAAUAAAGCAUUUCAUUUACAUUGAAAAGUAUAUUGUGUAAUUCAAUUUAAUUUGAUAAUAAAAAUUUAUUAAUUUUUUUUGUUUAAAAAGUUAUUUAAUAAAAUUAAUUUUAAAUUAAGUUUUUUUUGUAUAGUAUAUAGAUCAAAUAAUUUAUAUAAUAGUUAAUUAGUAUUGUAAAAGAAUAUUGAAAUAUAUGAAAAAAUUUUAAAUUAAAAGUAAAUUUUAUAUAUUGUACCUUGUGUAUCAGGGUUUAUUAAUUAAAAAUUAAAAAUUUAAUUUUUCUCGAAUUUAAGAGGGUUAAUUUAUUAUUUAAUUUUUUGUUUCAUAAAAAUUUAAAAUAAUAAAUUAGAAAUGAAAUGUUAUUCGUUCUUUAAUAUAUCUAGUUUUUUAAGAAAUAAAUUAAAUUUAGAUUAUUAAUAAAUAAUUAUUUAUUUAAAUAAUGAAUUAUUAUUAAUAAUUAAUAUUUUAAGGGAUAAGCUUUAAGGUAAGUUUUAUAAUGAUUUUUUAAUUUAAAAAUUAUAGGUUUAGAAAUAGUCAUUAAUUAUAAAAAUGUUAUAAUUUAUUUUAAAUUAAAAAUAAUUUUUAUUGAUUUAAAUUUUUAUUAAAAUAAUUUUUAAAAUUAUAUAAGAAUUAAAAUAAUGAUAAAAUUAGUAUAUUUAAUUGUUUAAAAUAAAUAAAUUAAAAGGUUAAAUUAAGGAAUUUGGCAAAUAAAUACUCGCCUGUUUAACAAAAACAUGUCUUUUUGAAUAUAAUUUAAAGUCUAAUCUGCCCACUGAAAAAUUUUAAAGGGCCGCGGUAUU
RNAcentral lists this ribosomal RNA (836 nucleotides) under Panorpodes paradoxus. RNAcentral describes it as "partial 16S rRNA". Lineage: Eukaryota; Metazoa; Arthropoda; Insecta; Mecoptera; Panorpodidae. The record is from RNAcentral.